GCCUGCCUUCAGCCAGCCACUUCACAUUCGGACACGGUUUCUCCCAAAGACUUAACUGACACCUCUAUCCAGACAUCUCCAAAAAGACACCGGUUAAGUUUUGAGACUUAACACCGGCCCUUUGGGAUGUUUGUCAGUGGAGAACCUGCGCUUGUUUGUACAGGUGGACAGGCUGGUCACUACUAGCUCUGGAUAGUCCCAUUUCUUCCUCUCUGGAAACAGUGACGGAGCAAGCAGCCACCCAAGAUCACUCGUGACUAUUCGGAAGCCUAAGAUCUGUCUGCAAUUAAUAAAUGGGACCUCCUGAAACUGAGAAGCUUCUGCAAGGCAAAGGAAACAGUCAGUAGGACAAAACGACCACCCACAGAAUGGGAAAGGAUCUUCA
Molecule: non-coding RNA, 385 nt
Organism: Cricetulus griseus (Chinese hamster)
Lineage: Eukaryota; Metazoa; Chordata; Mammalia; Rodentia; Cricetidae
Source: RefSeq, a predicted model, not a curated record